Molecule: ribosomal RNA, 253 nt
Filed under: uncultured bacterium
Lineage: Bacteria
Description: partial 16S ribosomal RNA
Rfam family: Bacterial small subunit ribosomal RNA
Source: RNAcentral
UACGUAGGGGGCAAGCGUUGUCCGGAAUCAUUGGGCGUAAAGCGCGCGUAGGCGGCCAGAUAAGUCCGGUGUGAAAGUCACAGGCUCAACCUGUGAAUGCCGCUGGAAACUGUCUGGCUUGAGUCCGGAAGGGGCGAGUGGAAUUCCUGGUGUAGCGGUGAAAUGCGCAGAUAUCAGGAAGAACACCAACGGCGAAGGCAGCUCGCUGGGACGGUACUGACGCUGAGACGCGAAAGCGUGGGGAGCGAACAGG